RNAcentral lists this ribosomal RNA (253 nucleotides) under uncultured bacterium. RNAcentral's name for it is "partial 16S ribosomal RNA". It matches the Rfam family "Bacterial small subunit ribosomal RNA", at positions 524 to 776 of the family's 1533-position model. The record is from RNAcentral.
UACGGAGGGGGCUAGCGUUGUUCGGAAUUACUGGGCGUAAAGGGCUCGUAGGUGGCCAACUAAGUCAGACGUGAAAUCCCCAGGCUUAACCUGGGAACUGCGUCUGAUACUGGAUGGCUUGAAUUCGGGAGAGGGAUGCAGAAUUCCAGGUGUAGCGGUGAAAUGCGUAGAUAUCUGGAGGAAUACCGGUGGCGAAGGCGGCAUCCUGGACCGAGAUUGACACUGAUGAGCGAAAGCUAGGGGAGCAAACGGG